Molecule: ribosomal RNA, 542 nt
Filed under: uncultured fungus
Lineage: Eukaryota; Fungi
Description: eukaryotic LSU rRNA
Rfam family: 5.8S ribosomal RNA (bases 190-343)
Source: RNAcentral
AUUAACGAGUAACGUCCCCCGGGGUCACACCCGGGGGACCAACCUCCCACCCAUUGCGAAUCAUACCUUUGUUGCUUUGGCGGGCCGUGGCCUCGCUGCCACCGCUGGCCGUUCGGCUGGCGAGCGCCCGUCAGAGACCCCCGAAACUCCACGUAUCGGUGACGUCUGAGUCAAAAUUUAAUGACAUAAAACUUUCAACAACGGAUCUCUUGGUUCUGGCAUCGAUGAAGAACGCAGCGAAAUGCGAUAAGUAAUGUGAAUUGCAGAAUUCAGUGAAUCAUCGAAUCUUUGAACGCACAUUGCGCCCUCUGGUAUUCCGGGGGGCAUGCCUGUUCGAGCGUCAUGAUCAACAUCAAGCUCAGCUUGGUCUUGGGUGACCGUCCCCUGGGACGCACCUGGAAAUCAGCGGCGGUGCGGCCGAGACACCAGCGUAGUAACUACUCCCGCUCGGUGGCCUCGGGUGCGUCAGCCGGACGACCCCUCAUCAUAUUCACGUUUGACCUCGGAUCAGGUAGGGAUACCCGCUGAACUUAAGCAUAUCA